UACGUAGGGGGCAAGCGUUGUCCGGAAUCAUUGGGCGUAAAGCGCGUGUAGGCGGUCCGGUAAGUCCGCUGUGAAAGUCGGGGGCUCAACCCUCGGAUGCCGGUGGAUACUGUCGGGCUUGAGUACGGAAGAGGCGAGUGGAAUUCCCAGUGUAGCGGUGAAAUGCGUAGAUAUUGGGAGGAACACCAGUGGCGAAGGCGGCUUACUGGACCGGUUCUGACGCUGAGGCGCGAAAGCGUGGGGAGCAAACGGG
This 253-nucleotide ribosomal RNA is filed under the name uncultured bacterium. RNAcentral describes it as "partial 16S ribosomal RNA". It matches the Rfam family "Bacterial small subunit ribosomal RNA", at positions 524 to 776 of the family's 1533-position model. The record is from RNAcentral.